This 618-nucleotide ribosomal RNA is filed under the name Triticum aestivum (bread wheat). Its description in RNAcentral is "partial small subunit ribosomal RNA". The record is from RNAcentral. Lineage: Eukaryota; Viridiplantae; Streptophyta; Magnoliopsida; Poales; Poaceae.
AUGUUGCCCUGGCUUUGGAAUCUGCUAUUGGUGGAUAUUGUUAUCAGCUCAAGGUUUCUUGCCUACGUGAUCAGGUUUUCUCUUUCCAUGUCUCCUGCAAAGAAGUUGGGUUUUUUCCUGCAUCAACGUAGCUUCGUUUGCCCUCAGUUUAAGUGUUUUUUCCAUCUCUGGGGUCAUGGUGGCCCGGAUUGGAUGAAGGAAUUUCGUCUCUGGCAGAUUGAGUGCAAUGAGGAGUGGACGGUGGUCAGUCCGUCUAAACGUCAUGCUAAGCUAGGUUUAUUAGCCAUGCGAAAUCCACCUGUCAAGUCCUCCUUAUGCACUAAUCCUAGGUCGGGACCUGCUAAGAGUUUGAGGUUUGCUACUUUCAUGAAGUAUGAUGUUUGUAAGGGUUAUCAAUAUCAUCCAAAUGCUGUUGAAGUUUUGACCAUCCGGGAGGCUGGUUAUGAUGUUGAUUCUCCUGACAACUCAGACUCCACAUCGUCGGGCAAUUCUCCCCUUGCAACAUCGCCUCCGGCGAGCCCGUCAUCGCCGCCGGUGACAAUUCAGUUUGGAUCUUUUCCUCCAUCCCGGAGCCAGUUAGUUCGUCAAGCGGCAAUCCGGGAUUUUCUGGGAUUUUAA